UUCGCCCGGCUUCUCCAGGCCCUAGAGACCGUGUCGGAGCUGGGAAGGGAGCGGGAGGUGAAGAGCGAGCACUGGGCACGCGGGGGAGACUGAGGUGGGAGAGCAACGUUGUCCUCUCGGUGGGGCGAGGGCGGUACACCCGCUUUCCCUUUGUGGACCGACACCCCCACAGGCCCCUCCAUUCCACCCCUGCCUUCCAGGGUCCCUCGGCGCUCUGCCCACUGCCCUUUCCAAGCUAUGCCUGUGUUAUCUCCAAGUUCCUUUAAGGAUGCCGGGUACGCGAUGCAGCUAUCGCGUCACACCGACACGGCGCUCCCCAGUUGGCACCCGCCAGUGGCCUCGGAAGCUCAGAGAAGGAGGAGCUGUUGUAGAAAUAGGAGAAGUAGCUCGCCAAGCUUGGGGUCAGAAAGGGAACUCACAUUUACAGUUCCCGCUACUCGCCAAGCGCUGUUAGACAUUUCAUAGGCAUAGUUUUAUUUAAUCCGCAGAACAAUCCCGAGUUGGAAUUAUUAUCCUCGGACGUGAGCGCAGGGGAGUGAAGUGCUUCCCUGAGGCUCCUUAGCCAGGUAGUGGCUGAGUCGGGUUCAAACCCAGCCCUGUACAGUUCUCAAUCCCAUGCUUUCUCUCUGGCCCCUCGGGGACCCAGGAAAGCAGAACAUGACAGUUUAACAUGCUCGAGUCACCUGAUCUUUCUGAGCCUCGGUUCCCUCGCUUGUAUAAUGAGAAAAUAUUGCCGCCUAAGCAUUGUGACGGUUCAUUGAGCAAAUAUGCAAAAACACUUUUCAAACUGUAAAAUACUUUCCAGAUAUUCUGACCUAGGCGAUGGACGUUGGGCAAUAACAAAAGGCAUAAGACACAGCCUGUCCUCGUGAGUCGGCUUUGGGGGAGACAGAGAGCAGACAAUAGGUACAAAAGUCCAGGAUGGGCAAUGAACCCAGCCAGGACACACCGCGGACAAAGACCUCACCCGGGCAUGGUGUUUGGAUUAUGCCUUGAAGUUGGUCUUGUGGGUGAGCCCCAGGACAGAACAAAAGCAUGGGGAGAGCUGGUGGCCGGCAGGCAGGUAGGCUUUAGACAGAGGCUGGAAGGUAGGCAAGUGAAAUGUCCCGCCCGGGAAUGUGGACACUGUCCUAGAGGCUGGGGGAGCCCUCGGUGGCUGUGACAGUGGGACAGGUGAAGGGUGAUAACCGGCUUAUUCAGGUAACAGGAUAAGGAAAGAAGAGAGGGAACAGUUCUGUGAAAUUAAAAGGAAAAAUAUAUUCCAAAGUCUGUGAUCUUAACCACAUAAUUAGCCUACCAACCCACCUCCUUCAAAAGAUGCAGGUGAUCUGAAACUUUUUUUUUUUUUUUUUAAUCCUGUCAGUGGGGGGAGAUGUGCUCUCAGAAGACAUCCUGCCUGCUCCUCUUGGCUACCUGAGGAGGCCCUGGUGCUGUCCUGCUGCUCAGUGCUACUGGAGCUGGAACCUCACAGCUCUCCCGCUUCACCAUUUUCUCUCUUUUUCACUUUUCCAAGUUCUCUGCCCUGCCUGGUCAGCAGCAUGUGCACCCCGAGAAAGGAAGGGAAAUUACAUAACGGGUAUGUUCUCAUCCUAUAAUUUAGAAAAUCCCAUGUUUUCGAGACGUAGAUUCUGAAAUGUACAUCAUGUCUUGAGUUUGCUUGUAUUGUAAUUCUCCAUGGCUUAUUUCUCUACCUACGGAGUUAAUACCCUUCAAAGCAGAAAUGAAGAUUUGAAAUAGAAGAUGCCAAUGACCACUUCUUUUUGCUGACUCUGGCUUUCCUGCCAACUUUAAUGCUCAUCUUUACAUACAAAACAAGGAAUGCUUUCAAAUAUAAUCAAGGAACUACUAAUGUAAGUUGGAAAUUUAUCAAGUAAUGAAAAAUAAAAUAAUCAUCAAAGCAUGGAAAGAGAUUAAGAAAAUAAAAAUCCACUGGUUCUUAACAUUGCAAAGGAAUGAAACACAGCAUUUGAAAGAUAUGAUUGUUUUUAUCCCUAAAAAGGUAAAUGAAAUAGAAUGGAAUGGGCUGCCUGCAACAGUGCAAUUGCAAGUUCUCUGUCUUUGGAAGCAUAUUGCCAAGGGUGGGUGGCCGUCUUUCAAGGGUGCUAUCGAGAAGAUUCUUAUCUGGACAAGGGGUUCUCUUUCAUCUGUACAGCACUGUUCUUGCUGUCUUCCUUAGAGCAAGUGCAGACCCACAAGGCGGUACAGACCCACAAGGCAGUACAGAAACCUCACACACACAAACCCGCACACAGUGGGUUGUUAAUGUGUCUUUUCCUGUUGGAUAACUACUGUAACUCAGCAGCAGAACAAGUCUGCAUCAAGAAAGAAGACAGCUAGGAACGUGCAGAAUGGAGAGCUGCAAGAAGCUUCCAUUGUUCCUAAAGUUAUCCUCUGGUCUUUAUUCUUCAAAGUGUAAUAUCUUUGUCAUUCUCUGGCAUUUUGAGCAUUCAAUACACCUAGAAGAAGCUUAGCAAUCAUUAAAAAGUCUCCUUUCUCUUUCUUUCCUUGUUCCUACUCUUAGAAGUUUCUAUAAAUGUGCCAAGUCCAAGGGAGUUUGCUUAGGCCCUUCUCUCAGAGAUGAUGCCCUUCCAUCUUUUCACUAUGCAAGAUUCUGGAGUCUGACCCAACAUUCUAUCAAGUAGAUCAUUCUGGAUUUUGUUUUUGCUUUAUUCACUGAAAAUUAUAGAGACCAAAAGCUUUCCUUUAUACUACUUCUACAUAUACUUCCAGUGGGGAGAAGAUGGAUCAGAAGUACAUCUAUCUUCUCAAAUAGAAACUCAUUUUAAUCUCAACCAACAAAGUGUAGAGAAGUCAAAAGCUUCCACAGUUAAUACUACACAAAUGCUUGCAACUUUUCAAAGUGAAUUAAGCCAGAUUCAUACACUUUAAAGAGUUUGUACA
This is a long non-coding RNA of Loxodonta africana (African savanna elephant), 2901 nucleotides long. RefSeq lists it as uncharacterized. The record is from RefSeq and is a predicted model, not a curated record. Lineage: Eukaryota; Metazoa; Chordata; Mammalia; Proboscidea; Elephantidae. The transcript has 3 exons.